Neopelma chrysocephalum (saffron-crested tyrant-manakin) is the source of this 1954-nucleotide long non-coding RNA. RefSeq lists it as uncharacterized. NCBI's taxonomy places the organism in Eukaryota, Metazoa, Chordata, Aves, Passeriformes, Pipridae. The transcript has 4 exons. The record is from RefSeq and is a predicted model, not a curated record.
GAAUGAAGAAAGCAGUAGACUAACCUGUAUCCAUGCUUGCUAAAUUUCCAAGAGGAUUUUUGUGGGAGAGGUGGAGCUGCUAGUGGAACGUCCCAGAUCUUUGGAGGCAGCCUGCAAGACUGCUGGGAAGGACAGAGGAAUGCCUGCCUCUACCACAUAACAUCUUCUGGUGGAUGGGUAGCAUCUUUGAAUAAGGAAUCAAAGAAUUUGCAGGAUUGGUAAAAGAUUUUCAAAGAAAAUUUUGAAGGAAAGCUGCUGUAAAAGUAGAGAAAUCUCAGUCUUGAAACAGAGAGAUGGAAGUGACAGAGCAGAUUUCUGCAUCUACACAUCUUAUGUAAAAGCUAUGAAAGAACAAGCAGUUGUCAGCAAGAGGCUGGUGAAAUUUGAGGAUUCAAUCAUACUCUUGAGACUGCAGAGCGCUGGUGGCUGAGUUAAAGACUGGGGGUUUUCUUAAAGCUGAGUAAGGCCAAACCUUGUCUAGGAAACUCCUGCCGGUUGACCUCAGUGUCCUUCAUGGGUCUGCUGGGCACAGACUAACGUUGCAGAACCUUCCUCUGAACAGCAGGCCUGAAUCUCUUUAUUCCAAGGUUCACUUGGCACAGCAGGCAGGCAGGGCUGGAACUGCCUGGUUCUCAGGCUGCUUUGACUCAUGCGUGGGGGCAGCUGUGGUGGGAUCAGAUGGCUCUGUGCCACAUAUGGACUAGUGCAGCGCAGAGACGUCCUGUGCCACACUGCAUUCCUGCUCCAUCCUCUGUGCCGGCACUGGAGGGAUGUGAUGAGGGAAUAGUAGGGUAAAAGAGCUUUUUACAAGUCAGUAUUAUUCUCCAGCCUGUUUGAGCCUUCCAGGCAAAAUGCCAAGGGAAGAGAAUUAAGUCUGGUGCUUGUCUGUGAAUUUAGCUCAGGAAUUACUUGUGAAGGGAACCUCACUACCGCUGACCUAUUAUGGUGCACAUGGGAAGUUGACACCUUAGAGAAUUCAUUGACCAGCCUGUUUGUUGCAGACUGUUUCAUUCAUGAGCUAUUGAGGGACUGAAAUGGCUUUUAAAACAAAGAGUAUUGAGUAAUAAGCUAGAAGUCGUAGAUGACUGGGACAUAUCUGGCAGUUCUUCCAUGACACUGAAGCUAGAAAUCAUGACACUUCCAGAGCCUGGAAAUCAUAAAUAUUUCCUAGCUAUAUGUGCAUAUUUGGCUAAUGAAUAACAUUCUUUGGGGUUACUUAAAAGUAGCAAUAAACUGUUUUUGAUACUGCUAGAUGAACAUCUAGUACUUUCCACAGAGGACUCACACUCCAAGCCACAGCUGCUGUAAAGGGAAGAGGGCCAGAUUCACUGUGGGUCUUCAGUAACUCUGCUUGGAGAAAAUCACUGUGACUUUGAGAAGAGAACACAGUGAUUACUACACUUUGUAAUAUUUGUAAGUCUACCAGUUCAUUUUCUUUGUGCAAACCUAUGCAACAAGUCUGCCAGCAAAGUCAAAAUAAACAAAUCUUUUAAUUUCUGUGAGAUUAAUUUUUCCCCUUUUUUCCCCUUUAAUAAGGAAUACUUCUAAAAUGUCUUGUUGGUAACUGCUGGAGACCUCAAACCUGUAUGUGGGGCACUGCCAACUUUUUUAUAAAUGUUGCUGUCUGCACAUAUUUCCAGGUAAGUAAUUCAGCCUUAUGUCUGAAUGCAGGAAUUUACUAAUCACAGAUUAACUCUAAUGGAGGUAUGUACCGUUUUCCAUUCAUUAUAUCAAUUCACUAUAUCCUUUGGAUUACUGAUGGUCUCAGUAGAAGUAGAUCUGAAUGUACCCUGGCUGUAUAUUCCCUCUGAGGUGUUAGGGCUGCUGAGUGCUGAGCUAGCUGUGACUUUAAGUGAUAUUAAUUUAACAACCUGAGUAUUGCAGGCUUUCCAUUCUUGUAUACCCUCAGUUCCCUAUGUUUCACUGAAAUCAGUUAAGUCAAAUUAUUUUUUUU